RNAcentral lists this ribosomal RNA (816 nucleotides) under uncultured bacterium. Its description in RNAcentral is "bacterial SSU rRNA". It matches the Rfam family "Bacterial small subunit ribosomal RNA", at positions 8 to 796 of the family's 1533-position model. The record is from RNAcentral.
AGAGUUUGAUCAUGGCUCAGAAUGAACGCUGGCGGCGUGCUUAACACAUGCAAGUCGCACGAGAAAGCCUUGGCUUGCCAGGGCGAGUAAAGUGGCGCACGGGUGAGUAACGCGUGGGUAAUCUACCCUCGAAUUUGGGAUAACCCUUCGAAAGGAGGGCUAAUACCGGAUAACAUCAUAGUUUCUUAGGAGAAUAUGAUCAAAGGUGGCCUCUACAUGUAAGCUACUGUUUGGGGAUGAGCCCGCGUACCAUUAGCUAGUUGGUAGGGUAAUGGCCUACCAAGGCUACGAUGGUUAGCUGGUCUGAGAGGAUGAUCAGCCACACUGGAACUGACACACGGUCCAGACUCCUACGGGAGGCAGCAGUGAGGAAUUUUGCGCAAUGGGGGAAACCCUGACGCAGCAACGCCGCGUGAGUGAUGAAGGCCUUCGGGUCGUAAAACUCUGUCAAGUGGGAAGAACCUGCAUAAGGUUAAUACCUUUAUGCAUUGACGGUACCACUGAAGGAAGCACCGGCUAACUCCGUGCCAGCAGCCGCGGUAAUACGGAGGGUGCAAGCGUUAUUCGGAUUUAUUGGGCGUAAAGGGCGCGUAGGCGGUCUUGUAAGUCAGAUGUGAAAGCCCGGGGCUUAACCCCGGAAGGGCAUUUGAUACUGCGAGACUUGAGUAUGGGAGGGGGAAGUGGAAUUCCUGGUGUAGAGGUGAAAUUCGUAGAUAUCAGGAGGAACACCAGUGGCGAAGGCGACUUCCUGGACCAAUACUGACGCUGAGGCGCGAAGGCGUGGGGAGCAAACAGGAUUAGAUACCCUAGUAGUCC